GUAAAUUUAAAUUUGUUUGUGGCAGUCUGUACCCGUGUUGACACUUGGUGGUUUCUCUUUCCAGUGAAGAGGUGGGUGGAGGCUGCCUGGAACAGUUGGCUUUAUGACCCCCUUUUGGAUAAUUUCUUUUGGAAUGAACUCAAUGGAGACUUACUCUGUUAGUCCUGCUUUUCCUCAGUCAGAGAGCUGAAAGCUUUUAAAUUAUAUUUUUCAGCUUGCCACUGCUUCUUCAGUGAAUCUGGAAGGAUGUGUCUGUUCUUCGACAAGGACACUAAGUUGUUUUAUCAUAUAGACUCUUUGUUAAAAAGCUGUUUGAUAACUUUGUUUGUUCUUUACUCAGUUAGUCAUAACCAUGGAUGUUCAUUUGAUCUCGCCAGGAACUCGCAUGGCAUCUGAGUAUAUUCUCACUUUAUCACCCCAUCAUUAUCACUCCUCAAAACUUUUAAGGAGAACUGUGAAGGGAAUCUGUCCGUCCUUGCUCAGUGUUAGUGACUGCACACCCAUAGAGUUUCCUGUUUUUAUUCAGGGUUAUUGACUGAUUCAUAAAGCCCAACACAUACCAAAAAUUUGCACUGUUGCAGUCGUGUUUAUAUUCUCUCCCUUUAUGCCUCUGUCAGUGUUUUGUUUUUUUUUAGGUUUUUUUAGCUUAUUUCAGUUGUGUGUUUGUGUGAUGUGUUUUCCACUGCCUGACCUGGUUUUGAGUCUUGUAACAUUUCAACUGUAUCUGAAUGUUUCAACUAUGUUUUGCAGAUAGUUGUAGACGUUCUCUCCUGACCUUCACCAUUCAUACUGAUGGUGUUUUGUUCUUAAUGUUUUCAAAUUUGGAUUCAUCACUCCAUAAGUUCUUGUGUAAUUUGACAUACCUCAACCUUUUUGCCUUGUUUCUCUUCCUUAUUAAUGGCUUCUUGACAGCCACCCUUCCACUGAGACCAUUUCUGAUGAGGCGUCAGUGAGCAAUAGAUCAUCUGAAGGAUCAGAUGCAUCUCUCAGGUGUUGUGUCAGGUCUUUGCUAUACUUUUCCCCAUUUCUUAAUGACAUCUGCUACA
Molecule: long non-coding RNA, 1046 nt
Organism: Astatotilapia calliptera (eastern happy)
Lineage: Eukaryota; Metazoa; Chordata; Actinopteri; Cichliformes; Cichlidae
Source: Ensembl